This 460-nucleotide ribosomal RNA is filed under the name uncultured bacterium. RNAcentral describes it as "partial 16S ribosomal RNA". It matches the Rfam family "Bacterial small subunit ribosomal RNA", at positions 338 to 795 of the family's 1533-position model. The record is from RNAcentral.
CCUACGGGGUGCAGCAGUGAGGAAUAUUGGUCAAUGGACGAGAGUCUGAACCAGCCAAGUAGCGUGAAGGAUGACUGCCCUAUGGGUUGUAAACUUCUUUUAUAUGGGAAUAAAAUGUUCCACGUGUGGGAUUUUGUAUGUACCAUAUGAAUAAGGAUCGGCUAACUCCGUGCCAGCAGCCGCGGUAAUACGGAGGAUCCGAGCGUUAUCCGGAUUUAUUGGGUUUAAAGGGAGCGUAGGUGGAUUGUUAAGUCAGUUGUGAAAGUUUGCGGCUCAACCGUAAAAUUGCAGUUGAAACUGGCAGUCUUGAGUACAGUAGAGGUGGGCGGAAUUCGUGGUGUAGCGGUGAAAUGCUUAGAUAGCACGAAGAACUCCGAUUGCGAAGGCAGUUCACUGGACUGCAACUGACACUGAGGCUCGAAAGUGUGGGUAUCAAACAGGAUUAGAUACCCUUGUAGUC